This 253-nucleotide ribosomal RNA is filed under the name uncultured bacterium. Its description in RNAcentral is "partial 16S ribosomal RNA". It matches the Rfam family "Bacterial small subunit ribosomal RNA", at positions 524 to 776 of the family's 1533-position model. The record is from RNAcentral.
UACGUAGGGUGCGAGCGUUGUCCGGAAUUAUUGGGCGUAAAGGGCUCGUAGGCGGUUUGUCGCGUCGGGAGUGAAAACUCAGGGCUUAACCCUGAGCCUGCUCCCGAUACGGGCAGACUAGAGGUAUGCAGGGGAGAACGGAAUUCCUGGUGUAGCGGUGAAAUGCGCAGAUAUCAGGAGGAACACCGGUGGCGAAGGCGGUUCUCUGGGCCGAUACUGACACUGAGGAGCGAAAGCGUGGGGAGCGAACAGG